This 419-nucleotide ribosomal RNA is filed under the name bacterium. RNAcentral describes it as "partial 16S ribosomal RNA". It matches the Rfam family "Bacterial small subunit ribosomal RNA", at positions 355 to 776 of the family's 1533-position model. The record is from RNAcentral.
UGGGGGAUAUUGCACAAUGGGCGAAAGCCUGAUGCAGCGACGCCGCGUGGGGGAUGAAGGCCUUCGGGUUGUAAACUUCUUUUGCUCUGAACAAGGCGCACCAUGGGGUGUGUUGAGUGUAGGGGUUGAUUAGCGCCGGCUAACUACGUGCCAGCAGCCGCGGUAAUACGUAGGGCGCGAGCGUUGUCCGGAAUUAUUGGGCGUAAAGGGCUUGUAGGUGGCUGGUUGCGUCUGUCGUGAAAGCUCAUGGCUUAACUGUGGGUUUGCGGUGGGUACUGGCUGGCUUGAGUGCAGUAGGGGAGGCUGGAAUUCCUGGUGUAGCGGUGGAAUGCGCAGAUAUCAGGAGGAAUACCGGUGGCGAAGGCGGGUCUCUGGGCUGUUACUGACACUGAGGAGCGAAAGCAUGGGGAGCGAACAGG